UGUCUACUAAUUAUAGACCAGUAUGAAAGGCAAAAUGAGGGUCCAACUGUCUCUUAUAAUAAAUCAAUUAAACUGAUCUCCUAGUAAAAAAGCUAGAAUAUUAACAUAAGACCAGAAGACCCUGUGAAGCUUAAACUAAAAUAUUAAACCACAUAAUAACUACUUUCGGUUGGGGCGACCUUGGAAAAAAAAAGAACUUCCAAAUACUAUGACUCUACCUCAUAUUACCCAUUAGGCCCACAAGCCAAUAAUUGACCCAGCAUAGCUGAAAACUGAACUAAGUUACUCCAGGGAUAACAGCGCAAUCUUCUUCAAGAGCCCAUAUCAAAAAGAAGGCUUACGACCUCGAUGUUGGAUCAGGACAUCCUAAUGGUGCAGCCGCUAUUAAGGGUUCGUUUGUUCAACGAUUAAUAGU
RNAcentral lists this ribosomal RNA (415 nucleotides) under Euprepiophis mandarinus (Mandarin rat snake). Its description in RNAcentral is "partial 16S ribosomal RNA". It matches the Rfam family "Bacterial large subunit ribosomal RNA", at positions 1970 to 2594 of the family's 2925-position model. Lineage: Eukaryota; Metazoa; Chordata; Lepidosauria; Squamata; Colubridae. The record is from RNAcentral.